RNAcentral lists this ribosomal RNA (471 nucleotides) under Streptococcus sp. oral taxon C65. RNAcentral describes it as "bacterial SSU rRNA". It matches the Rfam family "Bacterial small subunit ribosomal RNA", at positions 28 to 480 of the family's 1533-position model. The record is from RNAcentral. Lineage: Bacteria; Bacillati; Bacillota; Bacilli; Lactobacillales; Streptococcaceae.
GACGAACGCUGGCGGCGUGCCUAAUACAUGCAAGUAGUACGCUGAAGAGAGGAGCUUGCUCUUCUUGGAUGAGUUGCGAACGGGUGAGUAACGCGUAGGUAACCUGCCUUGUAGCGGGGGAUAACUAUUGGAAACGAUAGCUAAUACCGCAUAACAAUGGAUGACACAUGUCAUUUAUUUGAAAGGGGCAAUUGCUCCACUACAAGAUGGACCUGCGUUGUAUUAGCUAGUAGGUGAGGUAACGGCUCACCUAGGCGACGAUACAUAGCCGACCUGAGAGGGUGAUCGGCCACACUGGGACUGAGACACGGCCCAGACUCCUACGGGAGGCAGCAGUAGGGAAUCUUCGGCAAUGGGGGCAACCCUGACCGAGCAACGCCGCGUGAGUGAAGAAGGUUUUCGGAUCGUAAGCUCUGUUGUAUAGUUCAAGAACGAGUGUGAGAGUGGAAAGUUCACACUGUGACGGUAGCU